UACGUAGGGGUGCAAGCGUUUAAUCGGAAUUACUGGGCGUAAAGCGUGCGCAGGCGGUUGUGCAAGACAGAUGUGAAAUCCCCCGGGCUUAACCUGGGAAUUGCAUUUGUGACUGCACGGCUAGAGUGUGUCAGAGGGGGGGGUAGAAUUCCACGUGUAGCAGUGAAAUGCGUAGAUAUGUGGGAGGGAAAUACCCGAUGGCGAAAGGGCAGCCCCCCCCUGGGGAUAAACA
Molecule: ribosomal RNA, 232 nt
Filed under: uncultured bacterium
Lineage: Bacteria
Description: partial 16S ribosomal RNA
Rfam family: Bacterial small subunit ribosomal RNA
Source: RNAcentral